GGCCGGUUAGCUCAGCUGGUCAGAGCAAGGUGCUAAAAUCACCAAGGUCAUGGGUUCAAUUCCCAUAUUGGGCA
Poecilia formosa (Amazon molly) is the source of this 74-nucleotide non-coding RNA. The record is from Rfam. Lineage: Eukaryota; Metazoa; Chordata; Actinopteri; Cyprinodontiformes; Poeciliidae.